Molecule: long non-coding RNA, 321 nt
Filed under: Malus domestica (apple)
Lineage: Eukaryota; Viridiplantae; Streptophyta; Magnoliopsida; Rosales; Rosaceae
Description: long non-coding RNA (MDOM_LNC019231)
Source: RNAcentral
UCAUCUCUUCUCAUUUUUCUUCUCUUUAUCCUUCAUGCUGCUGCAAGAUGGGGAGAAGGUGAACAAUCAGUCGGAGCUCUGAUUGCUUACCUUGUCUGUCACCUCUUUCAGCAGACCCCCUAGCUCGGCGACUUGGGGGACUCUUACUACAUGGUUUGUAUCGCGCUUGACCAAGCCUGAAACUAUAAGUAAGCUUCAAGUGAAAUUGAUACAUUACCUUGUGCAUCUCCACCAGUUAAAGAUACCACCCCUGGAUGGAGGAAGAGUACUUCCAGAGAAGAUGCCACAUCUACCUAUGAGACAGAUAAGGCAAGUCAAGAC